CAAAGGAGCAAUCCGCUGAAAGAUGGGCUCGCGUCCGAUUAGGUAGUUGGUGAGGUAACGGCCCACCAAGCCGACGAUCGGUAGCCGGACUGAGAGGUUGGACGGCCACAUUGGGACUGAGACACGGCCCAGACUCCUACGGGAGGCAGCAGUAAGGGAUAUUGGUCAAUGGGGGAAGCCCUGAACCAGCAACGCCGCGUGAGGGAAGACGGUUUUCGGAUUGUAAACCUCUGUCCUCUGUGAAGAUGAUGACGGUAGCAGAGGAGGAAGCUCCGGCUAACUACGUGCCAGCAGCCGCGGUAAUACGUAGGGAGCGAGCGUUGUCCGGAUUUACUGGGUGUAAAGGGUGCGUAGGCGGCUGUGCAAGUCAGUAGUGAAAUCCAUGGGCUUAACCCAUGAACCGCUAUUGAAACUGCACAGCUUGAGUGAAGUAGAGGUAGGCGGAAUUCCCGGUGUAGCGGUGAAAUGCGUAGAGAUCGGGAGGAACACCAGUGGCGAAGGCGGCCUACUGGGCUUUAACUGACGCUGAGGCACGAAAGCGUGGGUAGCAAACAGGAUUAGAUACCCUGGUAGUCCACGCUGUAAACGAUGAUUACUAGGUGUGGGGGGACUGAACCCUUCC
This 622-nucleotide ribosomal RNA is filed under the name uncultured bacterium. RNAcentral's name for it is "bacterial SSU rRNA". It matches the Rfam family "Bacterial small subunit ribosomal RNA", at positions 202 to 842 of the family's 1533-position model. The record is from RNAcentral.